This 468-nucleotide ribosomal RNA is filed under the name uncultured bacterium. Its description in RNAcentral is "partial 16S ribosomal RNA". It matches the Rfam family "Bacterial small subunit ribosomal RNA", at positions 28 to 507 of the family's 1533-position model. The record is from RNAcentral.
GACGAACGCUGGCGGCGUGCUUAACACAUGCAAGUCGAACGGAAAGGCCCUGCUUUUGUGGGGUGCUCGAGUGGCGAACGGGUGAGUAACACGUGAGUAACCUGCCCUUGACUUUGGGAUAACUUCAGGAAACUGGGGCUAAUACCGGAUAGGAGCUCCUGCUGCGUGGUGGGGGGUGGAAAGUUUCGGCGGUGGGGGAUGGACUCGCGGCUUAUCAGCUUGUUGGGGGGGUAGUGGCUUACCAAGGCUUUGAGGGGUAGCCGGCCUGGGAGGGUGACCGGCCACUUGGGGCCUGAGAUACGGCCCAGACUCCUACGGGAGGCAGCGGUGGGGAAUAUUGCACAAUGGGCGGAAGCCUGAGGCAGCAACCCCGCGUGCGGGAUGACGGCUUUCGGGUUGUAAACCGCUUUCGCCUGUGACGAGGCGUGAGUGACGGUAAUGGGUAAAGAAGCACCGGCUAACUACGUG